RNAcentral lists this transfer RNA (85 nucleotides) under Penicillium vulpinum. It matches the Rfam family "tRNA". From Rfam's summary of the family: Transfer RNA (tRNA) molecules are approximately 80 nucleotides in length. The record is from Rfam by way of RNAcentral. Lineage: Eukaryota; Fungi; Ascomycota; Eurotiomycetes; Eurotiales; Aspergillaceae.
GACAGUUUGGCGGAGUGGUUAACGCGCUUGCCUCGAAUGAAAGCAAGUCCAUUCGUGGGCGCAUGUUCGAAUCAUGCAGCUGUCG